CUGGUUAUCCAUACCACCCUUAAUGUGCCCAGUCUUGUCUGAUCUCGGAAGCUAAGCAGGGUCAGGCCUGGUUAGUACUUGGAUGGGAGGAUUAUUCUUAAGAUAACAAGA
Propithecus coquereli (Coquerel's sifaka) is the source of this 111-nucleotide ribosomal RNA. The record is from Ensembl. NCBI's taxonomy places the organism in Eukaryota, Metazoa, Chordata, Mammalia, Primates, Indriidae.